CAAGCAACGUACGGAUUAUUGGGCGUAAGAGCUCGUAGGCGGUUUGUCGCGUCUGCCGUGAAAGUCCGGGGCUCAACUCCGGAUCUGCGGUGGGUACGGGCAGACUAGAGUGAUGUAGGGGAGACUGGAAUUCCUGGUGUAGCGGUGAAAUGCGCAGAUAUCAGGAGGAACACCGAUGGCGAAGGCAGGUCUCUGGGCAUUAACUGACGCUGAGGAGCGAAAGCAUGGGGAGCGAACAGGAUUAGAUACCCUGGUAGUCCAUGCCGUAAACGUUGGGCACUAGGUGUGGGGGACAUUCCACGUUUUCCGCGCCGUAGCUAACGCAUUAAGUGCCCCGCCUGGGGAGUACGGCCGCAAGGCUAAAACUCAAAGGAAUUGACGGGGGCCCGCACAAGCGGCGGAGCAUGCGGAUUAAUUCGAUGCAACGCGAAGAACCUUACCAAGGCUUGACAUGAACCGGACCGGGCUGGAAACAGUCUUUCCCCUUGUGGGCUGGUUUACAGGUGGUGCAUGGUUGUCGUCAGCUCGUGUCGUGAGAUGUUGGGUUAAGUCCCGCAACGAGCGCAACCCUCGUUCUAUGUUGCCAGCACGUGAUGGUGGGGACUCAUAGGAGACUGCCGGGGUCAACUCGGAGGAAGGUGGGGACGACGUCAAAUCAUCAUGCCCCUUAUGUCUUGGGCUUCACGCAUGCUACAAUGGCCGGUACAAAGGGUUGCGAUACUGUGAGGUGGAGCUAAUCCCAAAAAGCCGGUCUCAGUUCGGAUUGGGGUCUGCAACUCGACCCCAUGAAGUCGGAGUCGCUAGUAAUCGCAGAUCAGCAACGCUGCGGUGAAUACGUUCCCGGGCCUUGUACACACCGCCCGUCAAGUCACGAAAGUUGGUAACACCCGAAGCCGGUGGCCUAACCCCUUGUGGGAGGGAGCCCUCCAAAGUGGGACUGGGCGAUUGGGACUAAAUCGUAACAAGGUAGCCGUACCGGAAAUGCGUG
RNAcentral lists this ribosomal RNA (988 nucleotides) under Arthrobacter sp. RNAcentral describes it as "bacterial SSU rRNA". It matches the Rfam family "Bacterial small subunit ribosomal RNA", at positions 535 to 1516 of the family's 1533-position model. The record is from RNAcentral. Lineage: Bacteria; Bacillati; Actinomycetota; Actinomycetes; Micrococcales; Micrococcaceae.